RNAcentral lists this ribosomal RNA (900 nucleotides) under uncultured marine bacterium. RNAcentral describes it as "bacterial SSU rRNA". It matches the Rfam family "Bacterial small subunit ribosomal RNA", at positions 55 to 958 of the family's 1533-position model. The record is from RNAcentral.
AUGCAAGUCGAGGGGUAACAGAAAAGCUUGCUUUUGCUGACGACCGGCGCACGGGUGCGUAACGCGUAUGCAACCUACCUCAUACUGGAGGAUAGCCCCUGGAAACGGGGAUUAAUACUCCAUAGUAUCACAAUUUCGCAUGUUAUUGUGAUUAAAGUUUUUCGGUAUGAGAUGGGCAUGCGUCCCAUUAGCUUGUUGGUGAGGUAACGGCUCACCAAGGCAACGAUGGGUAGGGGGCCUGAGAGGGUGGUCCCCCACACUGGUACUGAGACACGGACCAGACUCCUACGGGAGGCAGCAGUGAGGAAUAUUGGUCAAUGGAGGAAACUCUGAACCAGCCAUGCCGCGUGAAGGAUGACGGCCCUAUGGGUUGUAAACUUCUUUUAUAGAGGAAGAAACUUGUCUACGUGUAGACAACUGACGGUACUCUACGAAUAAGGAUCGGCUAACUCCGUGCCAGCAGCCGCGGUAAUACGGAGGAUCCAAGCGUUAUCCGGAUUCAUUGGGUUUAAAGGGUCCGUAGGCGGAUUUUUAAGUCAGUGGUGAAAGCCGACAGCUCAACUGUCGAACUGCCAUUGAUACUGGAAAUCUUGAGUACAAAUGAAGUAGGCGGAAUGAGUCAUGUAGCGGUGAAAUGCAUAGAUAUGACUCAGAACACCGAUUGCGAAGGCAGCUUACUAACAUGUAACUGACGCCUGAGGGACGAAAGCGUGGGGAGCGAACAGGAUUAGAUACCCUGGUAGUCCACGCCGUAAACGAUCAUCACUCGCUGUUGGCGAUAUACUGUCAGCGGCCAAGCGAAAGUAUUAAGUGAUGCACCUGGGGAGUACGCCGGCACGGUGAACUCAAGGAAUUGACGGGGGCCCGCACAGCGGUGGAGCAUGUGGUUCAUUCGAUGAU